GCAGACACAUUCCAGCCAAUCAGCAGCAGACCCUCCCUCCCAGACCUUCCCACCUCCUGGACAGCAUCCAUUUUACAUUCAUUGUGAAGCUGCAUUCUUAGUGAGCUGUCCAGGAGGUGGGAGAGUCUGGGAGGGAGGGUCUGCUGCUGAUUGGCUGGAAUGUGUCUG
Molecule: non-coding RNA, 168 nt
Organism: Pelobates cultripes (western spadefoot toad)
Lineage: Eukaryota; Metazoa; Chordata; Amphibia; Anura; Pelobatidae
Source: the annotation of a GenBank genome assembly